This 440-nucleotide ribosomal RNA is filed under the name uncultured bacterium. RNAcentral's name for it is "partial 16S ribosomal RNA". It matches the Rfam family "Bacterial small subunit ribosomal RNA", at positions 338 to 795 of the family's 1533-position model. The record is from RNAcentral.
CCUACGGGUGGCAGCAGUGGGGAAUAUUGCACAAUGGGGGGAACCCUGAUGCAGCGACGCCGCGUGAGUGAUGAAGUAUUUCGGUAUGUAAAGCGCUAUCAGCAGGGAAGAAAAUGACGGUACCUGACUAAGUAGCCCCGGCUAACUACGUGCCAGCAGCCGCGGUCAUACGUCAGGGGCAAGCGUUAUCCGGAUAUACUGGGUGUAAAGGGAGCGUAGACGGUUAUGCGAGGCUGAAGUGAAGGCCCAAGGCUCAACCAUGGGACUGCUUUGGACACUGUAAAACUGGAGUGCAGGAGAGGUAAGCGGAAUUCCUAGUGUAGCGGUGAAAUGCGUAGAUAUUAGGAGGAACACCAGUGGCGAAGGCAGCUUACUGGACUGUAACUGACGUUGAGGCUCGAAGGCGUGGGGAGCAAACAGGAUUAGAUACCCGAGUAGUC